This 572-nucleotide ribosomal RNA is filed under the name Helotiales sp. OTU16 TS-2013. RNAcentral describes it as "eukaryotic LSU rRNA". It matches the Rfam family "Eukaryotic large subunit ribosomal RNA", at positions 62 to 648 of the family's 3401-position model. Lineage: Eukaryota; Fungi; Ascomycota; Leotiomycetes; Helotiales. The record is from RNAcentral.
AAACCAACAGGGAUUACCUCAGUAACGGCGAGUGAAGCGGUAACAGCUCAAAUUUGAAAUCUGGCUCUUUCAGGGUCCGAGUUGUAAUUUGUAGAAGAUGCUUCGGGUGUGGUCCCGGUCUAAGUUCCUUGGAACAGGACGUCAUAGAGGGUGAGAAUCCCGUAUGUGACUGGGUGCCUUCGCUCAUGUGAAGCUCUUUCGACGAGUCGAGUUGUUUGGGAAUGCAGCUCUAAAUGGGUGGUAUAUUUCAUCUAAAGCUAAAUAUUGGCCAGAGACCGAUAGCGCACAAGUAGAGUGAUCGAAAGAUGAAAAGCACUUUGGAAAGAGAGUUAAACAGUACGUGAAAUUGUUGAAAGGGAAGCGCUUGCAACCAGACUUGCCCGCCGUCGAUCAUCCGGGGUUCUCCCCGGUGCACUCGGCGGCGUUCAGGCCAGCAUCGGUUUCGGGGGUGGGAUAAAGGCCUUGGGAAUGUAGCUUCUUUCGGGGAGUGUUAUAGCCCUCGGUGCAAUGCCGCCUCUCGGGACCGAGGACCGCGCUUCGGCUAGGAUGCUGGCGUAAUGGUUGUAAGCGAC